This 612-nucleotide long non-coding RNA is filed under the name Homo sapiens (human). Its description in RNAcentral is "non-protein coding lnc-CPEB4-1:2". The record is from RNAcentral. Lineage: Eukaryota; Metazoa; Chordata; Mammalia; Primates; Hominidae.
CUUCCAUUGGCUUCCUCCUCACCCUGGGACAAAGUCUGGCAAUUGCUGAGGAAAAGGCCAAAUGCCACCUUGCAAUUUGCUGGGUCAUCCUGGAACAAGUGCUGCUGGGGCUCCCUGUCCCUACCCAAGCAGAGGAAAGUUCAGGACAGUGGGCAGAUGCCACCACCCCCAGAAAUGAGUAAACCAGGAGGCUGGGCCUGGGGUGCUGGCUGAGACCCUGGCCAAGUGCUUAUCCACAGUGAUAAAUGAGGUCAUCAUAGCUGCUAAGGUCAGUCCUCCUCGGGCAUGUAAACAGCAAAUAAGCUCAUGAUUGGAGAACACCCUUCGAGAGAGGAGGCUCCUGCAUGCAGAAGAUCCUUCCUGAGCACCUUCUGCCCUCCAUGUCCGAGCUGCACACUGGAACAGAGAGGUGAGGAAUCCGAGCCUCAGAGAGGGAGUGGGCUUUGUCCGGCAUCACGACAGCUGAAGCCCACAGGCUAGGAUUUGAACCCAGAUCCUGAAGACGCCAGGGCCUUUGCCCCUGUCCACUAGCUGUUGUGGCCUGCUUCACAACCAUGUCUCCUGGCCCCCGCUCCAGGGCUCCAUGACUGCUGAUUAAAAGAACAGCUUUGC